This 467-nucleotide ribosomal RNA is filed under the name uncultured bacterium. RNAcentral's name for it is "partial 16S ribosomal RNA". It matches the Rfam family "Bacterial small subunit ribosomal RNA", at positions 28 to 507 of the family's 1533-position model. The record is from RNAcentral.
GAUGAACGCUGGCGGCGCGCCUAACACAUGCAAGUCGAACGAUUAAAGCACCUUCGGGUGUGUAUAAAGUGGCGAACGGCUGAGUAACACGUGGGCAACCUGCCCCUUUCAUUGGGAUAGCCACGGGAAACCGUGGAUAAUACCGAAUACUUCGAGACUUCCGCAUGGAAGACUCGAGAAAGCUCCGGCGGAGAGGGAUGGGCCCGCGGCCUGUUAGCUUGUUGGUGGGGUAACGGCCUACCAAGGCAAUGAUGGGUAGCUGGGCUGAGAGACCGACCAGCCAGAUUGGGACUGAGACACGGCCCAGACUCCUACGGGAGGCAGCAGUGGGGAAUCUUGCACAAUGGGCGAAAGCCUGAUGCAGCGACGCCGCGUGCGGGAUGAAGGCCUUCGGGUUGUAAACCGCUUUCAGCAGGGACGAGGCGAAAGUGACGGUACCUGCAGAAGAAGCCCCGGCUAACUACGUG